GUAGGUGGCAAGCGUUGUCCGGAAUUAUUGGGCGUAAAGCGCGCGCAGGCGGUUCGUUUAAGUCUGAUGUGAAAGCCCACGGGCUCAACCGUGGAGGGUCAUUGGAAACUGGAGAACUUGAGUACAGAAGAGGAAAGCGGAAUUCCACGUGUAGCGGUGAAAUGCGUAGAGAUGUGGAGGAACACCAGUGGCGAAGGCGGCUUUCUGGUCUGUAACUGACGCUGAGGCGCGAAAGCACGGGGAGCAAACAGGAUUAGAUACCCUGGUAGUCCACGCCGUAAACGAUGAGUGCUAAGUGUUAGGGGGUUUCCGCCCCUUAGUGCUGCAGCUAACGCAUUAAGCACUCCGCCUGGGGAGUACGGCCGCAAAGGCUG
This 374-nucleotide ribosomal RNA is filed under the name uncultured organism. Its description in RNAcentral is "partial 16S ribosomal RNA". It matches the Rfam family "Bacterial small subunit ribosomal RNA", at positions 527 to 896 of the family's 1533-position model. The record is from RNAcentral.